RNAcentral lists this ribosomal RNA (44 nucleotides) under uncultured Tomentella. RNAcentral describes it as "partial 28S ribosomal RNA". Lineage: Eukaryota; Fungi; Basidiomycota; Agaricomycetes; Thelephorales; Thelephoraceae. The record is from RNAcentral.
UGUUUGAUCUCAAAUCAGGUAGGACUACCCGCUGAACUUAAGCA